This 279-nucleotide ribosomal RNA is filed under the name Escherichia coli. Its description in RNAcentral is "partial 23S ribosomal RNA". It matches the Rfam family "Bacterial large subunit ribosomal RNA", at positions 1 to 271 of the family's 2925-position model. Lineage: Bacteria; Pseudomonadati; Pseudomonadota; Gammaproteobacteria; Enterobacterales; Enterobacteriaceae. The record is from RNAcentral.
GGGUUGUGAGGUUAAGCGACUAAGCGUACACGGUGGAUGCCCUGGCAGUCAGAGGCGAUGAAGGACGUGCUAAUCUGCGAUAAGCGUCGGUAAGGUGAUAUGAACCGUUAUAACCGGCGAUUUCCGAAUGGGGAAACCCAGUGUGAUUCGUCACACUAUCAUUAACUGAAUCCAUAGGUUAAUGAGGCGAACCGGGGGAACUGAAACAUCUAAGUACCCCGAGGAAAAGAAAUCAACCGAGAUUCCCCCAGUAGCGGCGAGCGAACGGGGAGCAGCCCA